Molecule: ribosomal RNA, 387 nt
Filed under: Escherichia coli
Lineage: Bacteria; Pseudomonadati; Pseudomonadota; Gammaproteobacteria; Enterobacterales; Enterobacteriaceae
Also listed under: 2 other names
Description: partial 23S ribosomal RNA
Rfam family: Bacterial large subunit ribosomal RNA
Source: RNAcentral
UGGUGGGUAGUUUGACUGGGGCGGUCUCCUCCUAAAGAGUAACGGAGGAGCACGAAGGUUGGCUAAUCCUGGUCGGACAUCAGGAGGUUAGUGCAAUGGCAUAAGCCAGCUUGACUGCGAGCGUGACGGCGCGAGCAGGUGCGAAAGCAGGUCAUAGUGAUCCGGUGGUUCUGAAUGGAAGGGCCAUCGCUCAACGGAUAAAAGGUACUCCGGGGAUAACAGGCUGAUACCGCCCAAGAGUUCAUAUCGACGGCGGUGUUUGGCACCUCGAUGUCGGCUCAUCACAUCCUGGGGCUGAAGUAGGUCCCAAGGGUAUGGCUGUUCGCCAUUUAAAGUGGUACGCGAGCUGGGUUUAGAACGUCGUGAGACAGUUCGGUCCCUAUCUGC